GCCCGCCCGCGCGCGCCCUCGCCGCGGCCCCUCGGCGCUCAGCUGCUUUCAAAGAAAAUGUGAUACGUGAUUAUCACAACAGUCUUAAUGUUAGAGACAAGAUGAUCCACCUCUCUUUUCCUCCAUCAGAAUUUAAGAGCGGUGCCACAAAAUUCCACAUUAUAAAUUUGUGUUCCUGUCCCUGUUUACUGCUAUUGGUGAGUCAGUUCUGCAGAAUAAUUAAAUAGUUAUCUGAUUGCGAUGUAAUGCUGUCAAAAAAUCCCAUUUUUGUGUUUUUUCAUCUCCUAUAUGAUGUCUGGAUAAGUCAUCUCUGUCCUACAAAUAAAAAAUAAGUUUUCCUUA
Long non-coding RNA from Dipodomys spectabilis (banner-tailed kangaroo rat), 342 nucleotides. RefSeq lists it as uncharacterized. Lineage: Eukaryota; Metazoa; Chordata; Mammalia; Rodentia; Heteromyidae. The transcript has 4 exons. The record is from RefSeq and is a predicted model, not a curated record.